UACGUAGGGUGCGAGCGUUGUCCGGAAUUAUUGGGCGUAAAGAGCUUGUAGGUGGCUCGUUGCGUCGGGAGUGAAAACCUGCGGCUUAACCGCAGGCCUGCUUCCGAUACGGGCGAGCUAGAGUUCGGCAGGGGAGACUGGAAUUCCUGGUGUAGCGGUGGAAUGCGCAGAUAUCAGGAGGAACACCGGUGGCGAAGGCGGGUCUCUGGGCCGAUAUUGACGCUGAGGAGCGAAAGCGUGGGGAGCGAACAGG
This 253-nucleotide ribosomal RNA is filed under the name uncultured bacterium. Its description in RNAcentral is "partial 16S ribosomal RNA". It matches the Rfam family "Bacterial small subunit ribosomal RNA", at positions 524 to 776 of the family's 1533-position model. The record is from RNAcentral.